GUAAGCCCGGUGCCAGCAGCGGCGUGAAGACUGAGGGGGCAAGGGUGUUCCGGAGUUAUUGGGUUGAAAGGGGCCUUAGGCGGACUUAUAAGUCAGUGGUGAAAGCCUGUCGCUUAACGAUAGAACUGCCAUGGAUACUGUAAGUCUUGAGGAUAUUUGAGGUAGCUGGAAUAAGUAGUGUAGCGGUGAAAUGCAUAGAUAUUACUUAGAACACCAAUUGCGAAGGCAGGUUACCAAGAUAUAACUGACGCUGAGGGACGAAAGCGUGGGGAGCGAACAGGAUUAGAUACCCCAGUAGUC
Molecule: ribosomal RNA, 300 nt
Filed under: uncultured Methanosaeta sp.
Lineage: Archaea; Methanobacteriati; Methanobacteriota; Methanomicrobia; Methanotrichales; Methanotrichaceae
Description: bacterial SSU rRNA
Rfam family: Bacterial small subunit ribosomal RNA
Source: RNAcentral